Molecule: long non-coding RNA, 2005 nt
Organism: Lagopus muta (rock ptarmigan)
Lineage: Eukaryota; Metazoa; Chordata; Aves; Galliformes; Phasianidae
Exons: 3
Source: RefSeq, a predicted model, not a curated record
CUCUGCUGGUGUUUUGUGGGUGAGCCCAGGGUAGGGAUAAUGGUCUCCCUGGAGAAGUGCUGGAAGAUGGAUUAUCUACAGUUUCAACACAGGACCAGGCAUUGCUGCUCAAAGGAAGAUAGAAGGGAAAAUUACUGACAAUUUCUCACUUAAUCAUCACCUCUUUAUCCACUUUACAAGAGGAUGGCCUAUCACAAGUCUCCUGGAUCCUUUUGAAACUGAUUCCGCAAGGCUGUAAGCCUAUUGUCCAGAAGGAAGAGAGUAUUUUUCCACGAGGCCAUGCCAUGUUAAUGGUAAUAUCUAUUAGACCUGUCAGUCAAUAUUCUAUGAAAUAUACUUCAAUCACAGGUGUUGUUUGUGUUUGUUAGUUUUUGGUUUUUGUCUUUUCAAAUAUUUGGCUUUGAAAGACAGCAAAAAAUCAAAAGAUUCUCAUUAUGGUAAGUAAAUAUGUAGAUAAGUAUGAAGAAACAAGACAAACUUUCUGAUAAUGAACUUCAGAGACACAAUGAAGACACUUGUCCAUUGAGGAUUUGGAAGAUUUCAGAACUAAAGCAGAAGCUUUUGUGGCCCAGAAUAUCAAGGGGAUAGUUGUUUAUUCAGCUGAGUACAAGAUACUAAUUCAAGCCCAUAAUUCUUCAGUUACUAGAGCAGCCCCCAGCUGAGAUUUGCACAAAGAUCUCAGCAGCCAAACUGUGGAUAUUUUUAUUUGCAUAAUAUUAGCUACCUGGCUCUAUAGCAGCAGUACUGUCACGUUUCAUCCCAUGGCUUUAAUUUAGUUUGCCAACACUUUCUUGCUCACAUUAGCAAAUAUUAAAAAUACAUUAUAUUUUUUCUCCUGUACAGUUCAAACCACCGCAAAGGAUUUUCUAUCCCCUUUGGGUGCUCCUCAGUAAAAUUAGCUCACAGCAGAACUCCCUACAUGUGAUUGGCAGCAGUUCUCCAUGAAUAGUAUAACUUUAUGGCAUAGUUUCCUGUUGUAUGGAGGGAUUUCCUUCCUUCAUGUAGGAUUAAAAAUAUGUACUAUGAUUCAGCCAAUGGGCUUGCAAGAAGUUGUAACUCACUGCACUGAUACCAAGAAUGAAUAAUCAAUUACAAUGAAACUUUGGGUUUCUAAUACAACUAGUGAUUUCCCAAAGCAUUUAAAAAAAAAAAUUCUGAUGUCAGAUUUUAAUUUAACGAAUAGAAUAGAAAGUUUUCUAAGUAUAUUAAUGUAAAAAUAAAUAUAUUUUAUAGAGAAAACACUGAAAGAUAUGUAUUAAGACUGGUCCGAGAUUAUCUGGCAUGCAUAUUUUUCAAUAACAGCUGUGACAGUCAUGUAGAUCAUAGAGUCAUAGAAUGGUUUGGUUAGAAGGGAUCUUUAAGAUCUUCUAGUUUCAACCCCAUGCUGUAGGCAGAGACAUCUCCUUCUAGACCAGGUAAUGGGUUAUGUCUAAUGAAAUUAUCUUUCAGCUUUUAUUUUUAUACAUUUUAAACUUAUAAACUUGCUUAUCAAUUUCAUUCAGGAGUUUGUAUCAAUAUAAACUUCUUUUGGAGCAGCAAUAUUUCCUCCAAACACCAUCUAGGAAGAGGUAUGCUUCAAAAGAAUUUACUAGAUAGCAGUGAAAAUUUCCUAAAUAUUGUUCAGAAUGAUUGCGUAUGAAAUGAGGGGCACAUAAUGGAAGUAAAAAGAAUAAACUUAAAGAAAUAAAAAAAAUGAGGAAGAAAAGUCAUGGACUAAAAUAAUGUGUUAAAGAGCAAAACAAGAUAUUUGAUUGUUUGUUUGUUUUUUUAAUGUAACAAUUUCACUGAUUUUCUUCAUUAUUUUAGCUGGAUAAGUAUUGGAAAUUGCUGAAAUAAAUGAAAUGACACCAGAAUAAGAUUUUCCAGGAAGCCUCCAGAGGUGAAUUGGAUUUGUUUACUUGCAGUUAUUUGGAAUGAAGUGCUGUAAUUUGAUGUACUGGGAUAUAUGUCACACAUCUGGCAUGAGCUGAUUAAGUCACCUACACCAAUUUUGAUAUAAGAAUGA